AGUAACGCGUAUGCAACCUACCUAUUGCAGGAAGAUAGCCCGAGGAAACUCGGAUUAAUAUUCCAUAAUAUCAUUUUUACACAUGUAUUAAUGAUUAAAGCUACGGCGGCAAUAGAUGGGCAUGCGUACCAUUAGCUAGUUGGUGAGGUAACGGCUCACCAAUGUUACGAUGGUUAGGGGGUCUUAAAGGAUGAUCCCCCACACUGGUACUGAGACACGGACCAGACUCCUACGGGAGGCAGCAGUGAGGAAUAUUGGGCAAUGGACGCAAGUCUGACCCAGCCAUGCCGCGUGCAGGAUGACUGCUCUAGUAGUUGUAAACUGCUUUUCUAUUUCAUGAACCCCUCUGACGUGUCAGGGGCUGACAGUAGAAUAGGAAUAAGCAUCGGCUAACUCCGUGCCAGCAGCCGCGGUAAUACGGAGGAUGCAAGCGUUAUCCGGAUUUACUAGGUUUAAAGGGUGCGUAGGCGGGGUAUCAAGUCAGUUGGUGAAAUCCUGCAGCUCAACUGUAGAACUGCCAUUGAAACUGAUAUUCUUGAGUAUAGUUGAGGUAAGGCGGAAUGUGUU
This 567-nucleotide ribosomal RNA is filed under the name uncultured organism. RNAcentral's name for it is "bacterial SSU rRNA". It matches the Rfam family "Bacterial small subunit ribosomal RNA", at positions 109 to 672 of the family's 1533-position model. The record is from RNAcentral.